This is a long non-coding RNA of Lagopus muta (rock ptarmigan), 2057 nucleotides long. RefSeq lists it as uncharacterized. The transcript has 3 exons. Lineage: Eukaryota; Metazoa; Chordata; Aves; Galliformes; Phasianidae. The record is from RefSeq and is a predicted model, not a curated record.
AUUCAGGGUGUCCCACUGCCAGCAUUUUAAUGGAGAAUUUGUCUUUCUCCCCACCCUUUUCUGGAUCAAAACUGCAUGAAACGUCAACAGCAGAGCAGUUGAAUUUCGUAGAUGCAAAACUUGGGGAGUCUUCACAAGCAAUCUGGAGGAAUGAGUCUGCGGUAGAGAGGACAGUGCCUGUGAAAUUAUUACUUAAAACAGAGUCCAGAGUCUCAGGAUGUUAUCCUUGAAUGACCUGGGAAGGAGUGAACUUCUUACUAGCUGAAGAGCAUGUGAUGUUGACUGUUGUCAGGAAACCUGCAGCUGCAGGAGAAUGGCCUGAAACUUUUUAACGGGGAAUCUUCUUUUCUGUUGGCAUACUUCUUUACUUUUAACUCGAAGAUCUCUGUGAUAUUCUUCUUUUUUAGCACUUUGGCUUUCUGAUUUCAUACUGCAAAACAGAUAAUUUGUAACUCUCAAGAUCUUACCAGUGCUUCCAAAGGAUGCAUGUUGCCUCACAGACUUUUUUUUCCCCUCUUUUAUUUCUUUUUUUUUUUCCCAGCACAUAAAGCUAUAAACAAGCAAUGAAGAAAUCCAUCCUUUAAAAAUAGCUGGUGACGAUCAGAGCACAUGUUUUGCUACUCAUGCAGAAAAGGCAAGCAUCUGCUUUGAAGAGAAGGCUUCAAUGGCUCCAGCAGCAAUUUAUAGUCAUGAAGCUGUCAGCUUGCACCUGCACUGCAAGCAGCAAAGGAGAAGGGGAAGAGGAUUCUCUUAUUUAAAAUUCAGAGUUAUUCAAUAGAAAUCAUUCUUUUUGCCCCCCAUAAUCUUAAAAGGCCAAUUUUAAAACUGUGGUAACAAUGCUGAGAUACAGUAGGUAAAAUAUGCUCUUCUGACACUAUCUUGGACUGAUCUUGAGAGUGGCUGGGGUGUAGGAUAGGAAUACAAUUUACUAGUAAUGAUUAAGUUUUCUGUGGUGCCCUAGUCCUUCUAACCUCAAAAACUGUGGCUCAAAUCUGUAGGAGAGAGGAAGCAAACUAUCUUCUUGUUUCCCCCAAACUCCUUUUGCACCUUUCUUCUGCAGGUCCCCAUAUUUGUACCUGUAUCCAAGCCGCAGUGUCUGUGCCAACAGGGAGAGGAUGUGAAGGUGGAUUUCAAUCUCCAAUAACUUUCAGUUGGAUAGGUUUCCUGCCAAAGAGGAAAAUGAGCCCAAAGUUUCAAAUUAUGGGAGAAAAGCCCUAGCAGCAUAGCAGUGACUGAGAGCAGAUUUUUGCUUCUGAGAAGAACUAAGCUGAAGAGCUUUUCAGCAAUGACAUUGAAUAAAAGACCAAACUGAGGUCUGCUGCAGGAGCAAUCCUUUGGUUUAGCAUCAAUCUUGAGCUGAAUGUUAAUGGUAAGGAAUAAUAAUUCCUGCAAGAAAUAAUUUCAUGUUCUGUCAGAAAUUCAGAGAGGAUUCAAAUAGAUUAUCUUAGAUUGACACACAUAAUUAAAAACUCAUUUAAUACUUAGAAUGAAACCACUGCAAGAUAUUGACUCUGAAAUACCAAAAUGACUAUGUCAGUGGGAUUCAACAUUUUGUUAUAGUCUGAACAACAAACUAUACAUUCUGUAUAAAGACAUAAAUGUCUUAAGAAGUAGUUUUAGCAGUAUCUAGAAUGCUUUAACUUGUAUGAAAAUAAUUCAAAUCAAUGACAAGCUCAAUGAAAUGGUCCAAGGUAGUCCAAAUACAAGUCUAGUUUCAGGAUGAUUUACUCUUGCUGAGAAGAUAUUCCAGCAAAGCAAGUCUAUUCUGUCAAGAUGGCAUUUGCAAAUAAAAAAAUACUCAUAUUCCUUUCCACUUCAUCUUUUCUGAUCAUUGACCUGUUCAUUUUUUCUUAUAAAAUUGCAGAUUCCUCUGUAAGGAGACUAUUUUUCCCUCCAAUUCAUUGGAAACAAGUAAGUUGCAUUUCAGUUUCUCUAGUAAAAAGCUUGAGCUAGUCUCUUUAAUCAUGCAUCUCAGAAAAUGUGACUGUUGUCAGAAGAGAUUUCAAGCAAGAUAUUGCCCAUGGGAGAAAAUGUAGUUGUGUGCCAGGAACACAGAG